CUCGGUGAGCGCCGCUCACUCCCCGGCCGCCAGCUCUGGGGCUGCCGGGACGCGGAGGCGGGGCCGUCGCCCCCACCUGCUCCUCCGGCUCCUGCCUGGGAGCCGCAGCCGGCCCGCGCGCAAGGACGCGGCCCGGGCGGGCGGGGUCGCUCUGGAACCCGGGAGGCGGGUCCUAGCCGCCGGGCGCGCCUCUGCCUGACGGAGUCCCAGGUCUAAGCUGAGGAGAGAGUCUAAGCUUGGGGCCCAAGGCUGGAGUUCCCCAGGUAGGAGGGGCUGUGAUGCGAGCGACACCCGGCCCAGCACCGCCAGGCUGGGGACACUCCACUCCUUCAUCAAUUUAUUCCAAAAUAUUUUGAACCCCUGCUGUGCUCCAGGCGGCGUCAUAAGCGGUGGGGACAAAAGAACGAGAUCGUCUCGUGCCCUUGCGGAGUUCACGGUGUAGAAAAGGAAACGACUAAUGGACAACUACACUGCAGAGCCAAGAGGGAGCGGUCAUAGAGGGGGCCCUGAACCAGACUUGGGGAGGUCAGGGAAGGCUUACUGGAGGAGCUGGUGGCUAAAAGAACUGAAGGAUGUGCAUGAAUUAUCCGGUUGGAGUGACCUGGGGAGGUAGAUUGUCCCAGGUGGAGCCGAAGGGGAGAGGGAGCCGACAGUCUGAAAACUGAAGGGUCUGAGGAGCCGAAAGAACUUGGUAUGGCCACACUUCACGUUCAGACCCCUGGAAAGAUGCAGAAAGAUUGUGUCUGAGGCUGGAUGUAUUCCACUAGGCGCAUGAUUGGUUGGUGAGGAUUUGGUGAGGAUUUCGAAUCUCCCACGUGCUGCGCAUUCCCGCUAGUGGAGGAGCUAAGAGGAUACUCGUGGACCGUUCCCUGCAAUUUACCUGAGCAUCUGUGAGCCAGGCACUCUGCAGGACCCUUAGGAUGUGCUGUGGAAGGAGGCAGUGUCUCUACGCAAAAGGAGCUACAAGUCUGCAGUGGGGGAGAGACCUGUACUCAGCGCUUGGAUGAGGUGCAUGGGAACACAGGAUCACAAUAUGUGGAAUCAAAAGAACUAGGGUUUGAGUCCUGAUUCUAUCCAAACUGUUUCAGCUUCCUGCCCUUGGGCUACAUCACCUUAGACUUAUAAUGACAACAACGAACAUCCAAGUGACUCCCUGCAUCUACCUUCACUACGACCAUCUGCCUGCAUAUUCUCUGAUGGAUCCACAGUCAACAAACACCUAGAGGAGUCUCUCCAUUAAGCACAGAGAUGCCUUGAAUCUUCCAGAAAGCUAGACUUCUGAGCUAAUCUGGGCCUAUUUCCCCGCUCUGGAGAGAUGCCCUCCAGCUCAUCAUUGCGGCGCUUGAUGUAAAUGGAAAAGGGGAAGGAAAGC
Balaenoptera acutorostrata (minke whale) is the source of this 1372-nucleotide long non-coding RNA. RefSeq lists it as uncharacterized. The record is from RefSeq and is a predicted model, not a curated record. The transcript is spliced from 4 exons. NCBI's taxonomy places the organism in Eukaryota, Metazoa, Chordata, Mammalia, Artiodactyla, Balaenopteridae.